ACGAUACAAAAUGCAUUCCACAUUGG
Molecule: non-coding RNA, 26 nt
Filed under: Cricetulus griseus (Chinese hamster)
Lineage: Eukaryota; Metazoa; Chordata; Mammalia; Rodentia; Cricetidae
Source: RNAcentral